This 456-nucleotide long non-coding RNA is filed under the name Mytilus galloprovincialis (Mediterranean mussel). The record is from RNAcentral. Lineage: Eukaryota; Metazoa; Mollusca; Bivalvia; Mytilida; Mytilidae.
CACAGAAAAUUGAAAUUUUCCAUUGCAUUAGUUAUUUAUGUUCUUUCCGUGUGAUUUCAGUAAAAAAAAAAGAGAGAAAAAAAAACUGUAAAUGUUUUGAAAAAUAUUUUCAAUACAACAGAGGGGCAAAAGAAACCAGACAAAUAUGCUAACUCAAAACUUGAAGAUAAAACGACAACACCAUGGCUAAAAAAUAAAACCAAAGACACACAGACAAAUAAGGGGACACAACAUACAACAUAUAAAACUAAUGAAUAAGCAAAUUAAUCCCCCCUUGGGGUGAUCUCAGGUGUUCCGAAAGGUGAGCAGAUCUUCUUUUACAUGUGUCACCCGUUCUGUUGUUCAUCUUAGUACAAACCGGUAACAAUUGUAGGUCACAUUUAGGAAAAGGGGACGGGAUCUUAAUUAUUGUAUCGUAUCCGCUGUCAUCUGUGAAACGGUUAUUCUAAAACGGUC